Molecule: long non-coding RNA, 168 nt
Organism: Rhineura floridana
Lineage: Eukaryota; Metazoa; Chordata; Lepidosauria; Squamata; Rhineuridae
Exons: 3
Source: RefSeq, a predicted model, not a curated record
AGGAAGAGAAGGAACGGGAUCUGGCUGCCAGCAGCAUUGAACGGAUGCUGGCGUACGCCAUCAAGCUGCCCAAACUGACCCUGGAUUCCAUCGAAGCUGCUCUGCCCCCCAAAGAGAGAAGAGGAACUCCAGGUAGAGGACUUGGAAUGAGACAGUGUGAGAGAGGAG